GUGAGAUAAGUCGCGGCCGCGAGUAGGGUGGGUGUAGUAGGAGUGGUGGCGCGAGCUUUGGCACUGAGGAGCGUCAUCAAUGCGCGUGGUGGGGGUGGGCUGAUGUUUGGAUUUGGUGAUCUUAAUGAGCUUUUCCAACCUGAAUGAUGCUAUGACCGAGCCGCCACGUGGUCACCAGUUUUACUUCAGGUAUUUAAGCAGGCAGCAGUUAUUAAACGUCACGUUAGCGUGGAGAAGGAGCUUUCUGCUUUACGUAAAGUGGGUGAACUGGUUUUUCAGUUUACGCUGCGUGAUGGGCCUUUCUAGAGCUUCCAGAGAGGCAGAACUGUGUUGGAAGAGCAAAGGCUCAGUACCUGCCCCACUUCAGAUCUUCUACGUGACCAGCUGGAAAUUUCAUGAAUCACAGGUGAGACCUGCACAGAGAGCUUCUGCAACAGUUUCAUUUGGACAAGAGGAGCAAAAUAGUCCUUCAUCAGUACUAAAAGCUAUCUUGAAGCUCUUAUUAAACUGCCAGUGCAGAUAGUCUCCACUUCUACUAUUUUGUUACAACACUUUGAAACUAUAAUCUGCACACAGCAAGGAAUGUGAAUGCCUGUGCUACAUCAGUUGUGUAAAAUAGCAUUCAUUUCUUUUUCUAGAGAAGUACUGUUAGCAGUAUUCUAAGUAGUACAUGCUCUCCCAGUUUGAUUAAAGUGCUAUUCUCAAAUGUAAAGCCUCUUUCAGUGUUUCAGUAGGACAGACUGCUCCAGGUAUGAUUUGCAAGUCUUGAACAUGCAUCACCCUGUAUUUUCAAAGUAUUCCUGAGGGAUGGUAGGUCAUAAUAAACAACACUACUUGCUGACAAAUAAAUUCAAGUCAUACUAUAAGAGAAUAUUGUUGAAUACACAGAUCUGACCGACUUAAUAUGGUUUCUGUCUGUUGGAAAUCAUGGUUAAAAAGAUACGGUCAGUUAACAUCUGAAAGUUGAAUGUUUGACUUGUGUAAAAGGAAGUGAUUAAAUAAGUCCUGUAGAAAUAUAUUUAGUUCAUACUUCAUACCUGCAACAGACAAAUUCAAUUCUCCUUCCGCUUGCAAAUACGAAAAUAAUUGUUUCUGAACGUGAAGUAGGAUAGGGUAGCCACAGAGAAGGCUGAGGCUUCAUUCCACCUUUAACAGAAUGUGUCAUGAUUUGACUGAAGUUUACUGAAAGAAGUAGCAAGCAGAAAAGUCAGCUAGCACACAAAUAGACUUGUGCCCUUCAAACUAAUGAGCUUACCAGUGGCAUUCUCUGGAAUUGGUGCUCUUUUGGAAUUGCAAGGAACUUUUAUACCAGUUGUAUGUUGUUGUGCUUAAAGGUAAGUUAAAUCACGUUUCCAAACUUUCUGCUUUUCUAUUUUUUAGGGGCUGAAAAUCAUGAAGUUAAUUUUCUACCUCCAUACCUAUUGCAUGGGGCUGUAACUUUUCCUGUAUAUAACUAUUUUUAGGAAUUGAUCUUAGUUACGAGUAUGGCCCGUUAUCAUGAGAAUUAAGUUAACUAAGGGAAUUAUGUUAAGAAGUAAUUUACUCGAUGAUUUCACUUGAUUGUAAAACUGGUAGGGAGUGGUAGGAGGGAAAAGCAUGAAAAGUAUGUAAGUGUAUCAUUAAAACAGAUAUAUCAUUGUUUCAGCUGUUGUAUUAACAGAAGUGUAAGAGAAAGCUUCUCUUGGCCUGCCAUAAGGACAUUAUCCAGCAGGUGGAGUUUGACAGGAUGGUGAGCACAGGCCAAGUAGACAAGGGCGAACAAGUUACUGGCACACAGGAGCUGAAGAUUGCAUGAGCAUUGAACACCUAAUAGAUUGGCACAUAAGUGCUUGGGAAACCGAAGAGUUCCUAUUAAAAUAUAUCAGCUUUAAAACAGACAAGACCUGUAAAGAGAGACAUCUUGUACCUACUCCACAGCUGGACCAUGAGAAAACUUGAUGCCAUUGGAGACCAGUGUUCCUAUGGAACUGAUUUUCUGACCAGGCUGUGUCAUGGAAAGGAAAUGUAACUUGAGGAAGUACAGCUGUGGUGGAGGAACACGUGUACUGGGCCCUAAGACCUGACUCUUGUAACAAGAACUAGAACAACAAAGACAAGAGAAGGAAAUUAAGGAAAGAAGGAUGACUCACAACUUGUAUAUUGAAGAUCACAUUCAGAAAUGGUGACAAAGAAGCUAUGAACAAAUCAAGAUUGAAAAAAAAGAAAAGAAAAAACAGCAUUUAUGCCAGGAAAACUCAAUUGUUUGAGUGCUCAUGGAAAAGAAAUGCAAGAGCUGCCUUGGUAUCACUAAAGCAAGUUCACUGAAAAAUAGGACACUUUGAGAAGGACUCAGAAACAGCAUUUGGAAUGGAGAACUCAAACUGCAUUGUAGGCCGAACUAAUGCCUGAUAUUUAAGUAUAGGGGAGAUGUGGAGUUCUGAAGCUGAAAUUGAGAAGCCUGGAUCUGACAUGGAAUGUAAAGGAAUGACAAAACUGGAUGCCAAGAGGCGUUUUCAGCAGCAGUAUUGCCAGGACACUGAAGAAACCAGAGAGACAAGCAGGAAAAUGGGAAAUGUCAAAAGUCUCUACCGUGGUCUCAGGAUCAGAGAGAGGAAGGAUGUUUCAGAGAACAAUCUGAAAGGGAAAUGUGAGAUUUGGCAGCAGGUUAGCUAAGGAAGAAAUAAGAGUGAAAGAAGAGUCAGCUUGGGGAGUACUGUAGGCUGUCUCUACUGUAAGAUAAAUUCACAGCAAGCCCAGUAUGUCUAAGCAGUAUGAAUGAGCUUGUAUUUUAAUGCCCAAGAGGUGAGGGAAAAAAUAAAUUUCCUUUGGUUGAGAAGACAAAAAGUGGCUUCUUUCAUCCACCUGAGAAGGAGUAGGGCUGCAGGCACGGUAGACAAGAAGUCAGAUGCUGUGGCAUGCCAACUGCCAAGACACCUAGCAAGUCUGUCUUUCCUUGUCCUCCUGUGUUGUUUUUUUAUCACCCUGCUGGUCUGCAAGGUUAUAUGCUGCUUCUUUUUUUCCCCCAUCCUGAUUACUGCUUGCUUUGCUAAUAAGGGAAUAAUGAUGAGGAAGUAUGUCAUACAAAUUGUUAGACAAAGAUAAGGAUGGCUACAGGGAUAGCGCCAACUGAGAAGGCAGCAACAGUGAAAUUGACUGUUUUUAGUAAUCACAUGAGAAGAAAUACAUGCUUUUGUUUUCAGAGUAAACAUUUUACUGUCUAGAUGGAAAAGUCCAGCAGCCAAAGUUGUUAUUACAAGCUGAUUUAAAGACACAGGUGAGGAAGUACUUGAAGAUAUUUGUUUGCUUCGUGUUGGCUUUAUAAGACGUGGCUUACUGGUUUCUGAAGGCUUGAAAAUGUCUUGCAGUUUUUCAUGUUGACUGGUAAAUCCUUUUGUGCCUAGAGUGCCAUCCCCUCAUAGAGUCACUGUUCAUAAUACUGAACUAUGACUGUAUAUGAGAAGGAUGGUUGUACAAUCAGAGGAUCUGAAAAACUGCUAUGUCUGUUGUUCUUAAUACUCUUAAGGCUUUAUAAUGCACUGUAUUUUCUGAACUGAUGCAAGAACAAGCCUUUGAUGAUAGAAAAACUGCAGUUUAUAGUACAGAAGGAAGUGUGAAUUGAUUUUGCCAAUUUGGGAAAUGAAAUAGGCAGUACAGAAGUUCUUAGACCCACUUUCCCAGUUGAAAAGCACUUAGGUAAAACUGGACAAAAAGCCAGAGGAGAACUAAGUGAAAUUUCACACUCAGUGAGAUGCCUCACGUCUGAGCAACCAGCCAGACCUUAGUGUUUUAAUAUCCCUAAUCUAUUCUGUGCUUUAAUGAGAUCUUGAGCUAUUGGCUCUGAAGAUUAUUAGUGCCCUGGUGAAUAGCCAUUCAAUCUUCAGGCGUGUGAUGAGAAUUUGCUUCCUCUUUCAAUCCUUCAGCUUCUUGGCUAGAAUUUAUUAUUUCCCUAAAUAAAAGCAGCUGCAAAAUUUCAUUAGGUGUUAUAGUACCCCUUUCUGCUGUAUUUAACCUUGUCUCAUUAAAUAGAUUACAUCCUUGCCUCUUGUAAUUAAGUGCAAAUCAAACACAAUAUUUUAAUAUUAUAUUAAAAAUGUAAGAAAUAGGACGCCUUUUCAGCUGCCAUUCUGAAAUUCCUGAAGGCAGGAGUGCUACUUUGACAGUGACAAAUUCUUCCAGAAACAUCUGGUCUAUAAAGUACAUUUUCUCCUUAUAGAUCUGAUAGUAAAAUCAUAAAUACCAAAGACAAAGUGUUCUGUUCUGUCACACUUGAAUUCCAUUUAAAGAGAGUUCUUUAUCUAUUUCAUCUGUUCAGUAUCUGAGUGAUUUAACUACCUGCAAAGGCUUCUGUUGAGUAUGGGUUUUCUGGACACCAGCAAUCUUAAAUAUUAGAAGAGCCCAGGCUGUAGAGAAAAAAAAAAAACAUGAAUCUAAUAAUGGGUUGUGUAUUAAUUCAGCAAGCCUUUGGUUUUAUUUAAUAAGCAAAGAAAAAUUAUACUUCCACAAUCUACUGAGAGUCCAGUCAAACUAUGUGAUAAAUACUGACAAGAAAAAAUUAUCUUGCAUGUUCUAAAGUUGGGUCAAGAGAAGCACUAUGAACCCACACCUUCCUUAUGUGAACUUGCUAAGUCCCACGUCUAAAUUUCAUCCAUUUAACAUUUGUCACAUAACUGGGGUCCUUCAGUUAAGUUCUUUGCAGAAAUAAAAGAGGAAUUGUCUGUUUGAGGGCUUUGAUGUUGCAUCUCUCUUGAAAGCACCUUUCUCCCUGUGCUGACUGUAAGGUUGUGCAGGGCAGCAGUGCUGAUCUGAAGUUGGAGAUGUAAGUUCAGUGGUAUUCUCUGUGCUCAAUGUAACCAAAAUGCACUGUGUGUCUCCAUCCUAUACCUUUGGAGUUAAGCAUUAGGUAAAUAUAGAGCAUUUCCCCAAGUUUGUUUCAGGUAUGAACUAUGUGUAUGCUAUUAGCUAUCUCUGUAUCCAGGAGAGAUUUAUGUUGAUAAUAUUAUCAUUAACUCUAAUUUGAUUUCAAACUGAGUCACUGAUUACAUGGUUUCUAAGUCUCAGAUUCUGCUUCCUUGGGGAAGCAGAGGUGAGAAAGUUUGCAUGCUAUUGCAUAUAUAAUUAAAAACCACUUCCCAUUAUGUAUAUAUGCUGUCCCUGCCCUGCUAUACUGUCCUUUGCUCCUUUGCACCUUUUCCAUCCUAGCUGGUAGUGAUGCAGCAGCAGUCAGUCCGUUCUGUUACGUGUGCCUGAGUCGGGCUGCAGCCUUUUCUUAACAAGAGCCAAGGGCAGGUAUCAUGCUGCUCUGAUUUACCUGCAUGGCUGCGUUAGACCCAGUCAUUUCAAAGUUCUUAAUGAUGGCAAUUUAUCAAACAAGCCUUAAAAUAAUAGGCACUGUUUCCAAAAUGCCAUGGCAUUAGCAACCCACUCUUUAUGGAGUGGCAUAAUGUUUUCUUAAAAAAAUAUGUAAUGGACAAAUAAAUAACAACAACGACAAAAAACCUCAAAAAGAAAUAAGAAAAACACCUCCCCCACCCCAUGUUUGGAACAAGCUCGAUACGUGGUAUGUUUUCACAUUGUUUAGUACAGUCUGAAAAUUGCCUAAGUGCACAAAAUGGGUCACCCUGAUUAUGUUUUGAGGCUGUGAAUUCUUGCAAGAAGUUGUUAAUGCACGAGCAGUCCUGCUCAGCAGAGUACGUUACAGCAGGAGCACGGCUACAGCUUACUGUGGGAGGUGGGAAGUGGCUCAGUUUGAGAUCGGAUGAGAACAGCCAACUACUUCACCUGAAAAGAUCUCUCUCUAGAGGAAGGUCAGGCUAAUUCUGCUAGAAUCGUGCAAACCAGUAAUUUGAAGUGCUCCUUGCAGUGAAUCGAUGGAUGUGCAUUACUUUGUGAAAGUGUGCAUUAAUGUUUGCUACUGAGAACUGGGCUUAGUCCAGAAAACCGGUGGCAAUGGCUUGGAAAUGCACGGAAGCACAUAAUCUUGCAAAUCAAGCUGCUAAUGGAAACUGGGGUGCCAUCCAAGGUAGAUCCUCAGUCACUGGUGCUUUUGUCCUAAACUGGUUAUUUUGGAUUGCAAAUGUGAGGCAGUGAUCAGCUGGUUUUCUGUCAUCACCUGAAGGAGCCACUCUGUGGAUGCUGAAGUGCACUCAGAACACAGGAGAACAGUCACCACGAGUUACAGGGAGACCUCAGAUCAGUGUCCUGCUCAGGAAGAAAAGAAAGAGGUUCUGAUCAGAGGAAGUUGACAGCUUGUCCUUAAAAUUAGACAUGCCCUUGAGGAAACCACACAGGGAUCACAAUUUCCAUCAGCUCCAGAGACGUAGUAGUUGCUAGAGGGGUCAUUUACUUAAGUGGUUGGUACUUUCUGGAGUAUAUAUAAAGAAAAGAAAGUAAGCUAUUACAUUAAAUAGCUCUUAAGUAGGAUGGAACAAUGAGGUUGGUGAAAAGUAGUGUUUAUAAAUGUUACUGAAGAAAAAAUAAUCAGCAGAUGAAGAAGUACAGUUAUUAACACAAAUGAUUUCCAUGCAUGGAUUUGCAAAGCUCUUAGUCCAAACAAACGAUUUAGGUAAUGCCAGUAGAGAUGGAUGGCUGUUCCUACUGAGCACAGAAUUAAGAGAAAAAGAAAGCUGGUGACAUCAGUAUCAUCUGAUUGAAGGUGAACCUAAGCUAAAGAAAUCUGGAAGUGUGUUCAGCCCAGAGCACAACCUGGCAUUACACAAAGCUGUGUGCUGGAGAGGUUAGGGAAGCCGGACAGCUGAUAUCCAUCAAGGAGAGAGAGCUCUUUCUGUGGUGGGCUGGCUAAUUGUUUGUUUAGGCAUUCAGCUGGGUUGCAGAAGACUUGUGUUUGGUUUCAGGUUUGUUUAAAACACCCUAUGCUCCCUGGACCGUUAAUUAUUUGACCUCUGUUGUGGUUCCUAUGUAAGAUGUUGGUAUAAUAGUUCUUUUCAUUGAGGAUAUAUGCUGGUAACCAACCGAAAAGGUCACUGCCCAGGUGCUGUUACUCUGUGUUCCACCCUAUAAAAGACAGAGAAACCAGAAUGGGUGUUUUCUUUCUGUAAGCUUCACUAAUGAAAUCUAUUCUCACUGGAGCUCAUUGAUCAACGUUGUUUGAUGAAUGGUUAUUUGCUUGAUCUAAUGUUUACUGAAGUCAGCAGAAAUCUUUCACUGGACAUUUAAUUUUUAUUUUUUUUCCUGUCUUGCUGCUGUGCUUUAUGGCCAAUGAACCGGCGGAGGAAAAAUGCUCAGGAAUAAAAGCCCUUGGGAUGAGUAUGAAGGAACAGAGAUCUUCAGGGUUAUACAGUUUGUAGCUUUAAAGUAAUGAUAACUUCUUUCAGUUCCAGUUGGAAGACCCCAGAGGCCAAGAUUAACCUUAAUACAACACGUAGGUAAAGAGCAGGAGGUGGAGGAGCACGUGGUACAACAAAGGGUCAUGUCUGGAAGAUGGAGGGAAGGGGGAGCAAACCAAAUAAUUGGUUAUUAUUAGCAACUAAUUACUGUAGAUACUAUGAAUCUUGUGAGAAGCAAUACUGAAAUAGCCGCUGUGGUUUUUAGUUGGAUUAAGCUGUAUUUCAGUCUCAAACUUGUGAAGCUGCAGACACAUAACAUGUGCUGAAGCACAGGUUUAGCUUCUUUAAGAAAUAGAGGUUACAGGUGCAUGUGAUUGUACAUGUACAGCAAAUUCUUUUGUUUUCAAGAAAAUCUUUUAAUUUGAGCUUGAAACUGGAUCCUGCUGGCCUUAUUUUAGACUAGAAGUCUAAAGACUGGAUAAAGAUAGCCUUGCUUUAGUGCAGCAGCAGCAGAUGAAUCUCUGACUUCUCACAAGGUGGUGAUAGCAGUGUGGGUUCUUUGCAAUGCCUAUACUGGAAAAUACUUUCACCAAGGCAGAAUCAGACAGUAAUGAAUUAAUUCCAUUGUGUAGUUCAUCUACUUUGCUUGAUGUGGAUGGUUCUUUUCUGGCAUUGUAUGGCAAUCAUCGUUUUGGUGUGUUUAGACUCUCAUCACAUCAAGGUCCUGAUUUAGCAAAUACCUGGAACAGAAUCUCUAAGUACUGGGAUGUUCUAUGAAAUUGAACAUGUCAUUCAAGUGCUUUAAGGAGGCUUAGUGUAAUUUACUCAUUUUGUCUUUUUGCUGAUAGUUCCUGGAGGGAUUUUUAUGCCUUUAGGACAAAUUAUCUGAUGAACCUGCAAUAAAAAGCAGGACUUAGUCCUAGAGAACAAGAUUCCAAGUGGGUCUUUAAAUUCCACAGCCAAAGCAUCUUUAUGUGGUAAGGAGCAGCACACGAGGCCUUCAGAUGAGACAUUUUCCACAGGAUGAGAAUUCAGUGAAAAUGUAUUUUGAAAAUCCUGCCCUCACUUGAUAUUUAUUCUGCUAUCCAUUUGCAUGCAUUGUCUUUGAGACCAUAUAUUCUAUACCAUGUUAUUGGACAGUGAUAAAUGGCUCAACAAAGUUAAAAUUUAAUGAGAAAAGGGCAAUGAGAUGUUGUGCUUUUAUAAUGACUUAUCUGGCUUGUACAGAUAAGAUUGCGUAUGAAAUAUAAUAAUGUUAUCAAUGUAAUCUAUGUUACUUUGGACAUUACCAUACUUAUGAUUCAUUAACAGUAACUGUUUUGCUAUGUAGCUUUCUGUACUGGUUAUGUUGCUUGGCAACAUUAACUCCAAGAUAAUGAUGUCUUACUGCCUGUGAUUAAAUAAUGCUUUUUCCCCCAUAUUGUUUAUGAUAUAUCUAGCUUAUUUAUUUUCUUGUUUGCAAACUCUGUUCCUUAUUUUUCAUGCCAAAUAUAGCAAGGUAUGUAUACGUUCCUUGAAUAAUUCUGUGCUUAAAAUUCACCGCAUAUAUUCCCCUACUAAAGUGAAUGCAAAUAGCAAAAUAGUAUGAUGGAAAAAUAAAACCAGUGCACAAUAAUGCGAAGAACAUAAAAUGGAGAAGCAGUCUGUAGAACUACUGCUGAUACUGCUGAAUAAAUCCUUAAAGCCUUUUCAGCAGAAGUGCGUUGCUAAUAACCAUGGAUAAUGCCCUAGUUCUAUGAUUUAAUUCUCCUCUUAAAUAAAUAAAUAGGAAGCUAUGGGGCUUGCCCAUAUGCAGUGCUAAACUUUGGAACUUGACCAAGAAAAGUGAAAUACUAUACGCUGAAGGGUAGUAAAUGUCUUCUGAUGCUAUUAGUAGAUGGAUCAAUGUAGUUUAAUAGUAUUUACAGUAGUACAUUGGACCUCCAUGUUAACAGUAUUCUGUACUAAUACCUGAAGCAUAGCACACAUUAAAAUUGAUAUCGGGUGGCUAUUGAACAUAUUUUAAAUGAUUCCGUUAAUUCCUGCAGAGCUUAUCACCAUGGUGACAGCGACAGAAAUUGAACAAACAGGAAAAAAAUUCAGAAUUGAUCCAUCCUAAAUGAGAUUCCAAUGGGAUUUAGAGUCAUGCUUAAAAACUGGGAGCCAAAUAUAAGAGUGAGCGCUCUUCAGCUGAUAGUAUACCCCAUAUCUCCUCCAAGGAGGGCUUCUGUCUGCAGGUUUGGUCCCUGCAUCAUACAUUGCUUUCCAGAUGGCACCACCUAGGAAGUGAUGGUUUUGGAACAGAGGCCUAGAUAGUAAGCUGUGUGCUUCCAAUGUACUGGCAUUAAAUCAAUAAUUCUUUGUGGUUUUGUCAUCUGUAACUGAAGUGUUAAUACUGGUAUGGAUGCAGUAUGAGUGGAAAUGUGCAUGUGACAGCACCAGAAAUUACAGCCAAGUAAAUGUUAAAAGACUGGGACUUGUACCAAACACUCAGCGUGCUGCUCCCAAGGCUCUUUACUCAGGUGUAACGAUGUUGUUAAAUCCACAUGAGAACAUCAGCCCUCUACAAGACUCCACAGCACAGAGGAAGACCUAGGAGGGUGGCAGAAAGUUGCAGCAUGUCAUGCAUACCAAUCCUUUAAGGUUUUCCAACAGGACAGUGUGCCCUUCAAACCAACAAGGAAAAAUGGAGGACGCACAGAAAGCUUGGCUACAACCUACGGAGCUACUGGAGUCAGAAACAAAGCACUGACUGCCAAAACAGCUCUUCAGCCUCUCCAGGUCUUGUUGAAUGGCAGCACAGCCAUCUGGUAUGUCAGUCACCUGGCUUCGUAUCAUCAGCAAACUUGCUGAGGGUGGACUCUAUCCUUCAUCCAGAUUGUUGAUGAAGAUGUUCAAGAAGAUCAGAUCCAGCGCUGACCCCUGGAGAAUGUCACUAGUUACAGGUCUCCAACAAGGCUCUGAGCCUCUGAUCACAACCCUCUGAGUUCUGCCUGUUCUCAAUCCACACUUCCUAAGCUUACCUAUGAGGAUGUUAUGGGAGACAAUGUCAAAAGCCUUGCUGAAACCAAGGACGGAUAUUGCAGUCUCAUUAUAAGCAGGCUUCUGCUUCUCCUUAAGAGAAAUAAAGACCUAAUAACACUGUUUCUCAAAGACUAAAACUAGGGGUCCCCUGUUCUUUUCAGCAACAGCCCCACAUUUUCCCCAGAACUCUUUUUGCUGCUGAUAGACCUGUUGAAGCUCAUUGUCUUGUACUUCACAUCCACGGAUUCAACUCCAGAUGGGCCUCCGUUUAAAUGUAACAGGAAUGCGUAAUACUUUUGGAGGAGACAAAAUAUCAUCAUCACUCAGCUGGGGCUUCUGUGACAAGACCCGGAACCAAAGAGUUUGUCUCAAAAAGUAAGUAAAUCUGAUAGACCUUUUCCAAACUCAACAUCUGUCAGACUUAAUGCAAAUACAUUUAGUGUGGGGGGUACGGAGAGGAUUCUUUGCUUGAUAAUGUGUCUUGAAAUGCUGUCUCUCUACCUGAGUUCUCCAAGUGGAGCAGUCCGUCUGUGUCCUGAGGAAGCUGAGCCACCAUGGAGGUUCAUGACCCCAUUUGCAUGCAGCAAACCAGGCUUCCAGCCCAGCAGACUGUGGUUAAUGUUUGCAGAUCUAGAGGAUUAUGCUGUUGACUGCUCGGUUAAACACGUGAUGUAAAAUAUCCUCACUUCCCAGCAAGAGUUUGUUUUGGACCAGCAUACGUUUGGCAAUUAUUAAUUUUACCAAAUGCUGUAUCAAAAUGGCAUAUUAACGGUGAAGGUUACUGUUGAUAUCAGCUGUUUUCUUCUCCUUAAAACUACACCUACUCUCAGUACUGUCUUGAGUCCUUGACCUAAAGCUGGAGAGGUCUUAUUUGAGUCACCACGUGGUUGUGAAUUAAAAUUUCUUAGGCAGGGAAUUUUUGUGGACAUAAUAACUAAGUCUAGUCUACUUCCAUCAAGUUAUAUCAGUCCUUGCAAGUGUGAUAGCUGUGGCCUGAAAGCUGUUUUCUUAGGGAUGGUAGUUCCAUUUUAUGCUAAUGUUUUGGUGACAUCCUUCAUUACGUAUCCUUUAACACUCUUACAUUCUUGAUCAAAGCACACGAAAGCCCACAGAAAUUCUCUCAAACCUUUAUUUCAUUUAGUGCAAGUGCCAUGGGCAUCACAAUCACUUAAACAUUCUUUCUAAAUGUCUGUCAGAUUGCAUUUCGUAUUGGUCUGACCGAACUUCCCCACAUCUGAAAGGUCAUGUCAGGCUUCAUUCACUGCAAGUCAGCAUAGCCUCUGCUGACAGCCUGCAGAUAUCUGCAGAUCUCGUGAAGGUAGCUACAUGCCUUGGUUUGUUGUUGCUGGAAUUUGACCGAUAAGAUUAAACCUUGCCUCCGUUUUCAGCCUGCAGAGGCAGAUUCUUAAGGCAAUCAACUCAAACAUUGUUCUUCUCUAAUGCUGUCUUUCUUCUUCCUUAUGUUUCAGCGUAGUACUGAAAUAUUUGUGAUUUCUGAAAGUCUUGCUGGUUUUUCCUUAUUUAAAAACAAUACUGUCUCUGGCUGCUGAUAUAACUCUCGUUAACGCCCCUUGUUAUCGCUUCCCAUUUGGAACUAUUCUUGAUCUGCUUUUCCUUUUGGAAGCGGUCUCUUUAUAAAAGCCUUUUACACAAAGGGGGAAUCUUGUAAUGUUUUUGAAAAAAUCUGAUUUCAUUUCUCAUUAUCACUUCAUCUGAACCUGGAGCUCAUCUUCUUGGAUUCAGGUAGUUCCUUAUCCCAUCUUAGUUUUCCUUUUCAAGAUAUUACUUUUACAAUUGGAAUUUGACAUCCCUUUUGAAACAGCACUUAGAACUGUAGAUGGUAUUCAACCAUCAUGAAAGGCAGCUGGCUCUUUACGUGCAGAGAUUACCCCUUGGGAAUAAAGACUUCUCUCCAGUCCUGCUCAGAUGCAGGAAUAUACUGGGAAAAUGUAACCGGACUCUUGCAUCAGACCAGUUUUGACAGUUUUAUGCAGUUCACAUAUAUUUGGCUACUGUACAAGAAAAAGAAACUGUAUGCUUUAGGUAAUGUAAACUUUACUAUCAUAAAAAUAUCACUGCUGAAUCGCUGCAGUAUUUCAUUUGAACAGCACGAUGUGAAACUGCAUGUAGAAGGUGAUGGGCAAUUGAACAUAGAAAGAAAGGUAGACAGAUCUUGUUUGAGUCUGGAUGAUACGUAUAUAAAAGUUUGCUGGCAGUUACAUCCAUAAACAAACACUUUGGCAAGAGCUGCUGUUAUUGGUUCAAAGGAAAGAAAAGAAUUCUUAGUCUCUACUCUCACUACAACUCCCUGAAAGGAGGCUGUGUGAGGUGGGGUUGGCCUCUGCUCCCAGGGAACAGCCACAGGACGAGAGGGGAUGGCCUGACGUUGUGCCAGGGGAGGUUCAGGUUGGCUGUUAGGAACAAUUCCUUCUCCCAAAGAGCGGUGAGGCAGCGGCACAGCUGCCCAGGGAGUGGUGGGGUCACCGUCCCUGGAGGUGUUCAGGAGCCAUACAGAUGUGACACUGAGGGAUGUGGUCAGUGGGCACAGUGGGGUGGGCUGGAGUUGGACUUGAUGAUCUUUGAGGUCUUUUCCAACCUUCGUGAUUCUAUAAUCAAGUAAAGUCAGUUGUACCAACAAAAAUACUUUGAUAUCAGCAUUAUUGUGCUUAUAUUGGAGCAGCAGUGAAGAAUUCGUAUAAAAAUACCCUGAGAAUAAUAUUCACUAGUGUUUCUAAAUCAGAACUUUUUUUUAGUGUGGAUUUAAACUGAUUUUUCUCAAGAUAACUACUGCUAAGUUUGCUGUUUUCUGGUUUUUGUUUCUGUCCAUGAUUUGUCUUCUGCUGGCCUUGAAAUCUAGUUUUUGAAACUAUUUCUAUCAAAUUAUCUUAUCUUGGUGUUAUAACAUUAUUAUGAUUUGUUGUUUUCAGCUUGGCAGUCCUGCUUAAGAGCAUACAUCAUUUGCAUUCAGUUAAGCUAUUAUUUGCACCAAGUUCAAGUGCAGCAGCUUUUCUGUUUUCCCUGGAACACUGUUCACGUUUUAAACACGUAACCAUUCUAGAUCACCUAUUCCAUAGCUUGUGUAACUCUACAAAAAUCACAUUUGCUUUAGGCAGUAAACCAGCCUAAAGCUGAAAUACUGACUGUGACCCUUUGGAAAGGUGUAAGGAGUUUAUCAGAAGAAGCGUUGUGUCCUUUUGGCAAUGUCACAAUUAAUUAUCCUCCUCCCAUUGUAUAUCUAGCAUGUAUAUCACUAUCAGUUGGCCAGGGCAAGCAGAAAUAUGUUGUUAUUCUGUAUUUCACAUAUAAACUAUUUUAUAUUUAGGUAGGUGAUGUUAUUAAAGAGUGGGUGGAAUUGUGAAGACUUACCCCAGAACUCUACUAAGAUCAUAUGUUUCUUAGCCCACCAUUAAUCUAACAUCUUUACACCUUAACUGUUACGUUUCAUACCUUCUGAUGCUGUCUUAGGAUGUGUGUUUAAUAAUAACAAUAAUAAAAAAACAAACAGAAGAAAACACAAUAUAUCUACAGUAAAUCAUAAUACACCUACAGUAAAUUACAGCUGAUCUUGUGAUUGUUUAAUGUGAACUUUACCUGCUGCAUCUAGAUAUAUGGCUUAGUGUUGGGGGAGUGAUAUAGAGUCGUUCUGUCAGUUCUACUUAAACUAACCUCAUUACUCCUGAUUUUUCCCUGAGGCUAUUUCUACCCCAUUUUGUACAACUAGAGCAACGCGAAGGGACCGAAGUUUUGCCUAGAGUUGAGUAUAAGGCAUGGACUACUAAUUUUCCUCUUCUUUUGGUGUCUAAAUAGCUGGCUUUCCUUGUUUGAAGGUACAUUUUGUUAUUAAAGCCUGAGAAGGUAUGCUCUAGGUGUUUCUUUCAUGUUUUUAAAUCUGUUGUGAUUGAGCAAUAUUUUCCUUGUAAUGUUGUUAUUUAAUUUUUAGAUGGAAAUUAAAUACAGGAAAUGAUCAGCAAACAAAAUGAGCGUCAAAAGCAGAAGUCGCUAUGAAAACUGUUUUGCCUUUACUGAAGCAGCCCAUAACCCUAGUGUUAGAAUACCUAUUUCAUACACGGAAAGCUGUCACUGUUUCAUGAGCUAUAGAAUGCCUCAUGAUUAACAUAGUAUUCCUGUUUACCACGCUGUUUAUUAUCCAGAAAAAAACUGUUCUUAAAUGCCAUUUAACUGACUUCCAAAGAACUCAGUUAUUUAAUACACACUUGAUUUCAGAUUGAUGUUAAACUGAUCAUAAUAUCUUGUUUAUUUCCCUACAUGUAAAGCAGCAGCAAAACAUGUUCUCUCUAAAAUCCACGCCAAUCUCUAGCAGCAUGUUAGCAAUGAAAAGCUUAUGGAGAGCAGUCUACAGUAAUACCAUUCACAGAUAAGAACCUUCUUAGACAUGGCUUCCUAUUUCAAAUAACAUUGAAAUGCAGCCGGUUUUAAGUGUAAAAUGAGGUAAUAUUUCUAAAGCUCACUGCUGGAAUAAUUACAUGUGGAAGCAGAUAUUUGAUGAGCGCUCUUUACAUACACCACAGCUAUAGCUUAACUCUUGAAACUGAACACAUUUAGUAAGUAGUAUCUUCACAAAUCACAUCUUUGGUAUAUUGAUUUGGAUACUAAAAAUGAACAGAUCUGAAACGAAUGACCACUUGUGUUCCCGCAUUCUGGCACAAUUCUAGCUGCAUUUGAUGCAUUUCCAUUUCCACUCGGUUACUAGUUUAGGAACCUGGGCAGAUUUAUCACUCUUGGAAGUACAUUUCAGCUUCUUGCCUCAUCAGCAGCAAGAUAUGAGACACUGACAUAUGCUAUUUUAAAUAACAGCUGCUCAUUGCUGGUCAAAUUUUUCCCAAUAAUGACAAUAUAUUUUACUGAAAUAACGAUGCUACUGUUAUAAUGUUAGAAAUUUUAUUCAGAAGUGCAGUUAUCAACCAGUGUGUGAAUGAAGAAGCUGCUUUUAAGGCUCGGGACUCAGUUAUGAGAUCUCCUUAGUUCUACCUGUUUCAGAUGCUCUGCAUUCACUGGUUACCUAUGUGUGGCUGCAUGGCUCCCAGGCGGAUGGACAGAAGAUGAGCGAUGUUUGUGGCACAGCUAACUGCUGGUAAGUCCAUGGCCAUGGGAGGGGCCAGGUUUCUGUGGGGCAGUGCCUAUGGAGCUGGGGACAAAUGCCAGCCAGGCAUCCUAUGGGCGUCCCACUCCACCUCGAGCAUAUGAUGCUGUGGCUAGAGUUUGUUACUGUCAGGUGCAUACUUGACGUUUGCUUUUUCUGGUGACAAGUUGCUUGAGAAAGCGUGGCUCUUGACAUCUGCAGUGAUCGAAGUUGGGAAGCCAAACUGGGAACAUGGGUUGCUGCACUCAAAGUGUAUGGGCCUAUUUCUAUGGACUUUUUUCCACUUGGAAGUAUCUCUGAGGAAGUUGCACCCUGGAGGUGUUUCAGUUCCCUCCCACCACUCUGGCAAGCUCUGCAAGCGUUCGUACAGGCAAAUACAAACCUCACUGCUUGCCAAAGGAUGCCCACCUCUGGGAAACCCAUGAUUCAUUCACUGCCUGACCCUUACUUUGUGCUCCACUACACCAACGUGAGUGAGGCCUGUUCCUCCCCACCCAGCUUGGCUCAUCUCAUUAACAUCAACUCAGGGGACAAUUAAACCGUGUUGAGGUCCUGCUGGCCUCCACAGGCAUUGCUUUGGGUAGGUUGUGAUACCACCACAGCCUGCCUUCAGCCUCCUGACAGCCUACUGAAGCAGGCCCUUACUGCCCAUCUCCAAAGGUCCCUCCAUGCAGUGACUGCAUGAAGCACUGCCCUCCAAGAACUGAGUGGAUGCAGUCAGACUGUUAGUAAACAUCAACAGCAACAAAGUGUUUAAGAUAACUUUACAAAUUUAUCAGCAGAGAGAUCAUAUCCACGUUGAUAACAACAAUGUGACACAGUUUGUGAUUGAGAUGGAGGGACUAAACCUCUGUCCUGACAAAUUACACCGUGAGAUGCAUUACCUUGUUUUGAAGCAUUAUUUCUCUGUGGUUUCCAAAAAAACCACGUUUGCUAUUUCUAAAAAUAAACAAGCUACCAGUAAGGGUACAUUUUGUUCUAAAACUAUUUUGUUUCUACUCAAACAACAGAAUGUAUUUCGGAGACAAAUUUUCUUAAUUUGCUAACUAAUAACGUAAUUCUUUUUCUUUAGAGAUAAUUCUAACACCUUAAUAACCCUGUAGGGUACUUAUUAAAGUAUAAGAGAUUAAAUUCAAAUGAGCACAGUACAGACCUCUUCUUAAAAUCACCUCCAGGAAGGCAUCACUGUAGGAGAAAAAGACUAAAUUCAUUUUCCAGCCCAUAACAAAAGGUAGAAUUUAGUGCAUAGCUGUAAGCACCUCCAUGAAUAACCAUAAAUUAAGUAGUGUUUCUCCAGCCAGCCAUCAGUGCCCAAUACUGUUACACAUAAGUUGGUGGAAAGUCUGCCUUUUCAACAGGUGGGUGACUGGGAGUCUUGGCCAUAUACCAGCUCCAGUACUUCUUGCACACGAGCGCUGUGGACUUAGGAUACAGGAUAUUAGGUAGGACCUUGGUCAAGAUGGUGUAGGUGAUCCAUGGAACAGGAUAAACAGAGUGAAGACCUAUCACGUUAGUGUACAGCUAGGCACUGGAACAGGUUGCCCAGAGAUGUGGUUGCUGCCCCAUCCCUGGAGAACUCUGGGAAUUGUGAAAUAAAUAUUCCACUUUCUGUAUCAUACACUAUGGUCUACAUGACAUAGUAAUAUACUUAGUACCACAAAGCCAUGAAAUACAAUUGAUGAGAAAGACAUUUUAAUUCGCAGCAUUCAGGCUGGGUAAUCCCACAAAACUUGUACUCCCAAUUUACAAACUCAUUUUUGCAAGUGACGUAGUGAUUAAAUGGAAACAGCACACAUGAAUUGUUGUGAUAUCCUGUUGAUCAAAGGCAAAGCUGUUAUUUAUAUUGUUUUUCUUUUUCUCAAGGGAAAUAAGUAAUUAAAAAGAAAAGAAAGGGAAGGGAAAGAUCCAUAGCUAACAGUACAGUUUGUUAUAUAAUAUCGUACUUCUCAACUCUCAACAACUUAGUUGAGAGUGAAUUGACAAAGCACCCAACUUGGAAAAGCCUGCACUUCUGUAAUGGCAGUGUGCCUCGGCAAGAAGUUUGUCUCCAAUCUACAAAAGGUGUACAGAACUGAUGAAUUUAAAACAACAGAGUAAAACAAACAAACAAACAGAGGAUACCAUUGAAUAGGUGGCACUGUUUGGGGGGAGAACAAAGAAAGAAGAGAGUUGGAAAAGCAAGCAGAUUAAAAAAUAAUUUAGUUAUUUCCUGAUUCAGAUUACUUUAUAUUAGCUUUGCUCUAUAUAUAAUUUUCAGAUUUUGACCUGCCUUUCCAAUUCUUAUAUCUUUUAUCUACUCUCUGUGCUCAUUCUUUCAACUCUCAACCAUAUCUUAGUUUUGUUUUGUUUUGUUUUUGCUGUCUGGCUACAAAGAUGCUGUAAAAGAAACAACAGAUAAAAUAAAAGACUAAUGAAAGUGGACGUCCCCUCUGAUGAGAUCCAGAAUUCCUCAGUGGAGAAUGUAUCACCUUCUUUUAUUUUUGACACUUGAAAGCUGUCUUUAAUAAUAUCAUUUCAGCCUAAUUUUAUACAGCAACCAUGUUAGGUGUCUUUUGAAAGUACUUUCAUCUUUUAUUGUUUCUAGCAACCAGUUAAUCUGCAGCCCAACUAGUCCCAGUUGCUCAGCUGGAUACUGGAGAUUUGGCAUAGCCUGCUGUCGUGAGUCACCCACUUAUUUCCCCUUGCAGUCUUCAGAUGCAGAUUGAGCAUAGAUGUCGAUGUGUGCAGUAUCAAUGGAAGACUCAACACAACAAAAUGCACCUUUCUACCAAUUCUUACGGUUACCCCACGUGAUCCUUUCUUUUACAGCUAGUACUGCAGAUGAAUACUGUGCUUUCCUCUGCUAGAUCUGAUUACAUGAUUUAUUUUCUGUCCUUCCAAAGCCAUUGGAUGAUGCAGCUGUCUUGACUGUAAGAUGGUGGUGCACCUCCAGCAGUGGUCAAGGUCGCAAUGGUCACAAUGUCAGGAGCGCCUAUUGAAGAUAACCACAUUACUUUCAUGUACUUUUCCUUGGAGCUCACGGUUGAGCUCUGCUUUUUCUUUUUCUGUAUUGAGGUCACUUUGACUGUUGCAAUCUAUUUAUGCUUUCAAUUUCCAUUUUUUACUGAGUGCAUUGUAGGCUGAUCAGGAAUUCCACAUUUUCAAGGGCUGUACUGAAAAGUGAUUUCCUGCCUAAAAGUUUUUGUUGCAUAUUUUCUGAAACACAUCUUAUUUCAUUCUGAUGCAGAAUUAUUCAGACUAAGUAGUUAAGACCAAGUAGUUCUGUUUCUGGCAGCCACAGGUAGAGGCCUGAAUAUGCUCGUGCAAGCACCUCCACCACAAAGUUCAUGUCAGAAACUCCAAAACGCUCCUCCUCCAUUGUCUUUGCAUACGUUAAUUUUUAUCAUAGGGUAUGAUUUUUGUAAACAUUAAUAUGAGGGCUGCUCUGAAAGUAAUGCCUCCUAUUUUAUGAUGCUGGCCCACAACAUCGGAGGCGGAUAUUGGUGGGAUGGCAGUAGUGGUUGAACCUUCCCACCAAUACCCCUUUCCAUUUCGUUGUUGUGUGACAGAUGGCAGCAGAGGGGCAGUCUGACUGAUAUUGAAGUGCAUAUGGAGCAAAGGUGUGACGCUGAAGUCAUCCAUGUGGAAAGAAUGACACUUGCUGAAUGUUGAUGGAGUCCAAACAGUGGAUGUGAGCACAGUGAGGGGUGGGUGGUGUGUUUCAGCAGUAGCAACAGCAACAGCAGGUCACCUUUGCUGGUGCAGAGUUUUCCUCUGCAAAAUGUAUUAAAAUCAGAAAGCUGUGAGAAACAUGAAUAUUUUGCCUUUCAUCUUUCUCUCCAAUCACCCCGCAGGACAAAGGGAGCCUGCAGUUGCUUGCCUCCUUGUUAGCUCAUUUGCUCCUGGCAACAAAGCAGGGAAAUUACAGGCAGCAAUUUAUCAAAUGCUUGUCAUCAGUUCACUCCCUCUCUACCUAUCAUGAGGUGUAAUUUUAUUAACAGAAACUUGACCCAGGUACGCUCGUAGCUUGAAAGCUCAAAAGGUGGGGUGCAACCCUCAAAUAAAAGAUGAGUGAUGUGCAUUUUAUGUUUUGAAUGCAUGGUAGCAUAACUGAAAGUGAACGUGCUUAUAAAAAGGCCACAUUUUGUCCACAAUACUGUGGAAACUGUGAGAAGAACUCAACAGGGUUUUGCUAUGUGAUGUGAAUGGACAGGGGGAAAGACUUCAUGGUUAAUGUACAUGGGCUGUAUGUCUGCAUUAGAAUUUCCUGCUGUGUAACUUGUGUUGGCACAGGAUUUAAUAAAAAUCAACAAGACUCAGCUAACAAGGCUUACCACACAAACAAGCUCUGAGGAGUGAAAAUAACAGCUACUGAGAUACAUUUUUUAAAAUUAAAUAUGAAAUAUUCAUAAGCGCAUUUUAUAUGUUUAUACUACUCUAUUAUGCUAUUGGCAUAGUAAAUUACUUUUGUUUACUGGCUACUCAAAUCAUACAUUUCCAGAUGCAUAAAGUUGUGUUUCGUUCUUUCAAAUGGUUAAAACUGGAGGAAAUAAUCUCAAUUUAAACCCACAUUUUCAAUAAUGUUAUCAACUAACCGAAAUAGUAUAACGAGGUUCAGAAUCUAAUCCACAUAGCCCACAUUACACAGCCUUUGAAAUCAGCAUACUGACUUCACAAGUCCUGUGUAGUUGACAGGCAGAAUUUAAACUGUUUUAUGGGGCAGCAGCUCCGGACUGCUUAUUUUGGUCAGGAUGGUUGAUGGUGAUUUUAAUGCUGUGUACAGGUGGCGAAUGUUCCAGCAGCUUGCACUGAAAUUCUAGCUCUUCUUUGGUACAUUUAUUCACUGACAUAGUGUAUUAUUCAUUCUCUUAUUAAUUUACAUUUUCUAUUAUGUCUCACAGGAGCUCUCUAACCAGUCACUGCUUUAUCCAUACGUCAAGCAAGCAUUCUCUUUACAGUCACAGUAGAUAUCUGUCUUCUGUCCAGGACGUACAUCUUGUAAACACUACUUUGUGGGCAUUUCCCUGUUUUCCUGUUUUCUCCCAUAGAAUGUCACCAGUGCUUUCCCUAGGCCACGGAUGGAUACAACACACUACAUUUUGCAGUUUUGUGCUCAGUGUUUCAGUGAAACAUACUGAAGCCUUCUGAGUAUUGCUUAAGCGGGCAGAGUAUACAGCUCACUAAUUUUCUCCAGAAAAUAAUCCAUUUUUUAGCCCCACUGGUUUUCAUCCAAGCACUGAAAUGCUGCUUUUUAGCUAAAUUUUCCCAGCACAUUUGGUACUGCUGAUGACUUCUCUCAAAGACUCCUCUUUGGCUCCCAUGCUUCCCAUUCCGGUGAUUGUGCUCUCAUGUUCCUGGUCAUCGUGAUGUUGGAUUUUGUGUGGACUUCCUUCAUCCUCCUUUAGCAUCUCCUGUGAUUUCUGCCCUUGUGAGGCCUCACCUGCAGUACUGCAUCCAGGCCUGGGCCCCCAGCACAAGAAGGAUGAAGAGGUGUUGGAAUGGGCCCAGAGACGGGCACAAAGAUGCUCAGAGGGCUGGAGCACCUCUUAUGAAGAAAGGUGGAGGGAGGUGGGCUUGUUCAGUCUGGAGAAGAGAAGGCUCUGGGGAGACCUCAUUGCGGCCUUCCAGUACUUGAGGAGAGCUUAUAAGCGGGAGAGGGAGUGACUUUUUACAUGGUCUGAUAGUGAUAGGUCAAGGGGGAAUGGCUUUAAAUUAAAAGGAGAAAUUUAGGUUAGAUGCUGGGAGGUAAUUCUUCACUCAGAGGACAGUGAGGCCCUGGCACUGCUGCCCAGAGAGCUGUGGGUGUCCCAUCCCUGGAGGUGCCCAAGGCCGGGUUGGAUGGGCCCUGGGCAGCCUGAGCUGGUGGGCAGCCAGCCCACAGCAGGUGUUGGAGCUGGGGGGGCUUUGAGGUCCCUUCUAACCCAAGCCAUUCUAUGAUCUUAUGAUUUCUGUUCAUUCUCGCUCUAUGUCUUUUCUGUAAAUCGAGUGCUGUCCUUGCACAGUUUUAUCCACUGACAUGGACAGUUAAGUGUCUGCCCAGAGCCAGAAGUUAAUUGCUGUAUUGUAUGUUAUAUAAUUAGCACCUUGUCUAAGCAUCACUGCACUUUUAGGAUGCUACCUGUUAGAUGUUCCUUGCUUGGAAACAAUGGUCAAACUCGACACUUCAGGCUAAAACUCUGAUCAGCAAUGUUAUGAGAAAGAAAAUGAACUGUAUUGAUAUAUCUCUAAUACUGUGCCUCUGUGCCAGCUUCACUGUUAGAGAAAGAAAAAGACAUAGCCUGUGUUUUGUUCCCUACUUUCCUUAGGUUUCAUUGCAGUGUGCUAGACUGCUGCCAGCAUCCAGGGAGCAGGAUUAUUAUUCUUGUCAUGUGGAUAUUUUCUUCCCUCUGCUGACUGAGAGCUACAAACUUGUCAGACAGAAAGCCUGAUAUAUUUGUGCCUUUCUCUUUUUAAAAUUCACCCAUAGCAAAUGUUACAUGUGCUCCACCAGGGAAAAAUAUCUUUAUAAAGAAAUAAGGUGUGUUCCCCAAACAGCAUUUCUAACAGACCAUUUCCCAUAUAUUUUUCUAG
This 21915-nucleotide long non-coding RNA is filed under the name Gallus gallus (chicken). RNAcentral describes it as "lncRNA (ENSGALG00010019818.1)". The record is from RNAcentral. Lineage: Eukaryota; Metazoa; Chordata; Aves; Galliformes; Phasianidae.